Molecule: ribosomal RNA, 1536 nt
Filed under: Streptococcus thermophilus
Lineage: Bacteria; Bacillati; Bacillota; Bacilli; Lactobacillales; Streptococcaceae
Description: bacterial SSU rRNA
Rfam family: Bacterial small subunit ribosomal RNA
Source: RNAcentral
AGAGUUUGAUCCUGGCUCAGGACGAACGCUGGCGGCGUGCCUAAUACAUGCAAGUAGAACGCUGAAGAGAGGAGCUUGCUCUUCUUGGAUGAGUUGCGAACGGGUGAGUAACGCGUAGGUAACCUGCCUUGUAGCGGGGGAUAACUAUUGGAAACGAUAGCUAAUACCGCAUAACAAUGGAUGACACAUGUCAUUUAUUUGAAAGGGGCAAUUGCUCCACUACAAGAUGGACCUGCGUUGUAUUAGCUAGUAGGUGAGGUAAUGGCUCACCUAGGCGACGAUACAUAGCCGACCUGAGAGGGUGAUCGGCCACACUGGGACUGAGACACGGCCCAGACUCCUACGGGAGGCAGCAGUAGGGAAUCUUCGGCAAUGGGGGCAACCCUGACCGAGCAACGCCGCGUGAGUGAAGAAGGUUUUCGGAUCGUAAAGCUCUGUUGUAAGUCAAGAACGGGUGUGAGAGUGGAAAGUUCACACUGUGACGGUAGCUUACCAGAAAGGGACGGCUAACUACGUGCCAGCAGCCGCGGUAAUACGUAGGUCCCGAGCGUUGUCCGGAUUUAUUGGGCGUAAAGCGAGCGCAGGCGGUUUGAUAAGUCUGAAGUUAAAGGCUGUGGCUCAACCAUAGUUCGCUUUGGAAACUGUCAAACUUGAGUGCAGAAGGGGAGAGUGGAAUUCCAUGUGUAGCGGUGAAAUGCGUAGAUAUAUGGAGGAACACCGGUGGCGAAAGCGGCUCUCUGGUCUGUAACUGACGCUGAGGCUCGAAAGCGUGGGGAGCGAACAGGAUUAGAUACCCUGGUAGUCCACGCCGUAAACGAUGAGUGCUAGGUGUUGGAUCCUUUCCGGGAUUCAGUGCCGCAGCUAACGCAUUAAGCACUCCGCCUGGGGAGUACGACCGCAAGGUUGAAACUCAAAGGAAUUGACGGGGGCCCGCACAAGCGGUGGAGCAUGUGGUUUAAUUCGAAGCAACGCGAAGAACCUUACCAGGUCUUGACAUCCCGAUGCUAUUUCUAGAGAUAGAAAGUUACUUCGGUACAUCGGUGACAGGUGGUGCAUGGUUGUCGUCAGCUCGUGUCGUGAGAUGUUGGGUUAAGUCCCGCAACGAGCGCAACCCUUAUUGUUAGUUGCCAUCAUUCAGUUGGGCACUCUAGCGAGACUGCCGGUAAUAAACCGGAGGAAGGUGGGGAUGACGUCAAAUCAUCAUGCCCCUUAUGACCUGGGCUACACACGUGCUACAAUGGUUGGUACAACGAGUUGCGAGUCGGUGACGGCGAGCUAAUCUCUUAAAGCCAAUCUCAGUUCGGAUUGUAGGCUGCAACUCGCCUACAUGAAGUCGGAAUCGCUAGUAAUCGCGGAUCAGCACGCCGCGGUGAAUACGUUCCCGGGCCUUGUACACACCGCCCGUCACACCACGAGAGUUUGUAACACCCGAAGUCGGUGAGGUAACCUUUUGGAGCCAGCCGCCUAAGGUGGGACAGAUGAUUGGGGUGAAGUCGUAACAAGGUAGCCGUAUCGGAAGGUGCGGCUGGAUCACCU